GUCGACGCUGGCGGCGUGCCUAAUACAUGCAAGUCGAGCGGACAGAUGGGAGCUUGCUCCCUGAUGUUAGCGGCGGACGGGUGAGUAACACGUGGGUAACCUGCCUGUAAGACUGGGAUAACUCCGGGAAACCGGGGCUAAUACCGGAUGCUUGAUUGAACCGCAUGGUUCAAUUAUAAAAGGUGGCUUUUAGCUACCACUUACAGAUGGACCCGCGGCGCAUUAAGCUAUUUGGUGAGGUAACGGCUCACCAAGGCAACGAUGCGUAGCCGACCUGAUAGGGUGAUCGGCCACACUGGGACUGAGACACGGCCCAAACUCCUACGGGAGGCAGCAGUAGGGAAUCUUCCGCAAUGGACGAAAGUCUGACGGAGCAACGCCKCGUGAGUGAUGAAGGUUUUCCGGAUCGUAAAACUUUGUUGUUAGGGAAAAACAAGUCCCGUUCAAAUAGGGCGGGUACCUUUGACGGUACCUAACCAAAAAGCCACGGGUUAACUACKUUGCCAGCAGCCCCGGGGU
Molecule: ribosomal RNA, 519 nt
Filed under: Bacillus licheniformis
Lineage: Bacteria; Bacillati; Bacillota; Bacilli; Caryophanales; Bacillaceae
Description: bacterial SSU rRNA
Rfam family: Bacterial small subunit ribosomal RNA
Source: RNAcentral